GGAGAGGUGCUAGAGUGGUUGAUUGGGACGGUCUCGAAAACCGUUGUAUGAGCAAUCGUACCGAGGGUUCGAAUCCCUCCCUCUCCGCCA
RNAcentral lists this transfer RNA (90 nucleotides) under Alphaproteobacteria bacterium. RNAcentral's name for it is "tRNA-Ser". It matches the Rfam family "tRNA". Rfam says of the family: Transfer RNA (tRNA) molecules are approximately 80 nucleotides in length. Their secondary structure includes four short double-helical elements and three loops (D, anti-codon, and T loops). Lineage: Bacteria; Pseudomonadati; Pseudomonadota; Alphaproteobacteria. The record is from RNAcentral.